Transfer RNA from Felis catus (domestic cat), 91 nucleotides. It matches the Rfam family "tRNA". From Rfam's summary of the family: Transfer RNA (tRNA) molecules are approximately 80 nucleotides in length. Their secondary structure includes four short double-helical elements and three loops (D, anti-codon, and T loops). The record is from Rfam. NCBI's taxonomy places the organism in Eukaryota, Metazoa, Chordata, Mammalia, Carnivora, Felidae.
GCCUGGGUGGCUCAGUCGGUUAAGCGUCCGACUUUGGCUCAGGUCAUGAUCUCAAGUUUCAGGUUUGUGGGUUUAAGCCCCACUUCGGGCU